UAAUACGGAGGAUGCAAGCGUUAUCCGGAUUCAUUGGGUUUAAAGGGUUCGCAGGCGGCGUAUUAAGUCAGUGGUGAAAUCCCUCGGCUCAACCGAGGAACUGCCAUUGAUACUGGUAUGCUAGAGUAUAGUUGGCGUAGGCGGAAUAUUUCAUGUAGCGGUGAAAUGCUUAGAUAUGAAAUAGAACACCGAUCGCGAAGGCAGCUUACGAAGCUAUAACUGACGCUCAGGAACGAAAGCGUGGGGAGCGAACAGGAUUAGAUACCCUGGUAGUCCACGCUGUAAACGAUGAUUACUCGUUGUCGGCGAUACACUGUCGGCGGCUAAGCGAAAGUGAUAAGUAAUCCACCUGGGGAGUACGAUCGCAAGGUUG
This 373-nucleotide ribosomal RNA is filed under the name uncultured bacterium. RNAcentral's name for it is "bacterial SSU rRNA". It matches the Rfam family "Bacterial small subunit ribosomal RNA", at positions 521 to 896 of the family's 1533-position model. The record is from RNAcentral.